CCUACGGGAGGCAGCAGUGGGGAAUCUUGCGCAAUGGGCGAAAGCCUGACGCAGCCAUGCCGCGUGAAUGAUGAAGGUCUUAGGAUUGUAAAAAUUCUUUCACCGGGGACGAUAAUGACGGUACCCGGAGAAGAAGCCCCGGCUAACUUCGUGCCAGCAGCCGCGGUAAUACGAAGGGGGCUAGCGUUGCUCGGAAUUACUGGGCGUAAAGGGAGCGUAGGCGGACAUUUAAGUCAGGGGUGAAAUCCCAGAGCUCAACUCUGGAACUGCCUUUGAUACUGGGUGUCUUGAGUGUGAUAGAGGUAUGUGGAACUCCGAGUGUAGAGGUGAAAUUCGUAGAUAUUCGGAAGAACACCAGUGGCGAAGGCGACAUACUGGAUCAUUACUGACGCUGAGGCUCGAAAGCGUGGGGAGCAAACAGGAUUAGAUACCCUGGUAGUCCACGCCGUAAACGAUGAUUGCUAGUGUCGGGUGUUACUAUCUCGUGACGCAGCUACGCAUAGACAUCGCCUGGAGUACGGUCGCGAGAUAAACUACAAGAAGUAGACGCGUGAGAGUGCGACGCGACGACGAGGGAGAG
RNAcentral lists this ribosomal RNA (580 nucleotides) under uncultured bacterium. Its description in RNAcentral is "bacterial SSU rRNA". It matches the Rfam family "Bacterial small subunit ribosomal RNA", at positions 338 to 945 of the family's 1533-position model. The record is from RNAcentral.